GAUGAACGCUGGCGGCGUGCCUAAUACAUGCAAGUCGAGCGAACGGACGAGAAGCUUGCUUCUCUGAUGUUAGCGGCGGACGGGUGAGUAACACGAGGAUAACCUACCUAUAAGACUGGGAUAACUUCGGGAAACCGGAGCUAAUACCGGAUAAUAUUUUGAACCGCAUGGUUCAAAAGUGAAAGACGGUCUUGCUGUCACUUAUAGAUGGAUCCGCGCUGCAUUAGCUAGUUGGUAAGGUAACGGCUUACCAAGGCAACGAUGCAUAGCCGACCUGAGAGGGUGAUCGGCCACACUGGAACUGAGACACGGUCCAGACUCCUACGGGAGGCAGCAGUAGGGAAUCUUCCGCAAAGGGCGAAAGCCUGACGGAGCAACGCCGCGUGAGUGAUGAAGGUCUUCGGAUCGUAAAACUCUGUUAUUAGGGAAGAACAUAUGUGUAAGUAACUGUGCACAUCUUGACGGUACCUAAUCAGAAAGCCACGGCUAACUACGUG
RNAcentral lists this ribosomal RNA (497 nucleotides) under uncultured bacterium. Its description in RNAcentral is "partial 16S ribosomal RNA". It matches the Rfam family "Bacterial small subunit ribosomal RNA", at positions 28 to 507 of the family's 1533-position model. The record is from RNAcentral.